UUUGCUCCAAUAGCAGAAAAA
Molecule: non-coding RNA, 21 nt
Filed under: Caenorhabditis elegans
Lineage: Eukaryota; Metazoa; Nematoda; Chromadorea; Rhabditida; Rhabditidae
Source: RNAcentral